RNAcentral lists this ribosomal RNA (255 nucleotides) under uncultured bacterium. RNAcentral's name for it is "partial 16S ribosomal RNA". It matches the Rfam family "Bacterial small subunit ribosomal RNA", at positions 523 to 776 of the family's 1533-position model. The record is from RNAcentral.
UAACGUAGGGUGCAAGCGUUGUCCGGAAUUAUUGGGCGUAAAGAGCUCGUAGGCGGUCUGUCGCGUCGGCUGUGAAAACUCGGGGCUCAACCCCGAGCCUGCAGUCGAUACGGGCAGACUAGAGUGCGUGUAGGGGAGACUGGAAUUCCUGGUGUAGCGGUGAAAUGCGCAGAUAUCAGGAGGAACACCGGUGGCGAAGGCGGGUCUCUGGGCAGUAACUGACGCUGAGGAGCGAAAGCGUGGGGAGCGAACAGG